This is a long non-coding RNA of Xiphophorus couchianus (Monterrey platyfish), 691 nucleotides long. RefSeq lists it as uncharacterized. Lineage: Eukaryota; Metazoa; Chordata; Actinopteri; Cyprinodontiformes; Poeciliidae. The transcript is spliced from 2 exons. The record is from RefSeq and is a predicted model, not a curated record.
UGUUCCGGGGUUCUCUGGUUCUCUUGGUGGGGUUUUUCCUGUGCGCCUUUUCCACCUCUUACCACCAGAUGGCGACAGGUUCCGGUUGGAGUGCGGUGGUAUCAUCAUCAUCCACAGCUGUCAUCAAUUACUCUCAUCAGCGGAGCAUACUUAAGGAGUUGACCGCCAGUCCAGCGUCGCCUGAGUGUUUGCCAGUCACGGUACCUCUGAGCCCCCUUGAGCCCUGUCUCUGUGUUCCUCGUUGCCUUGAGCCUUCCUUUGAUUCUCUUUGUGUUUCUCUGUUGCCUUCAGGAGAUCCCUUUGACACUCUGGACCCGCUGACCAGAUCCUGGCAGUUUCCUUGGUUUCAGAACCUCCCUCGUGACGCCGUGGAAAGUAUCCACUGGUUGCCCGAGUUCCCAGACUCACCUCUCCGUUGUUUGCAAGUAUCUCCUGGACCCCACGGCUGGCGGCCGAAUCACUCCUCUGUGUCUCUGUUGCACCCGAGCCUACCUGUCCGUUCUCCGCCGCACUCCUCCGUUGUUCCUGGACCCACUAGAGACCGAGACCCUGGACAUACUCAGUAACCCUCCAAGAUUCAGAUCCAGCCACCACCAAUGAACCACUGCUGCCCGUUACAGUUGAUUCCCUGGACCAGACCACCUUCCCACACUCUGAUAAUUGUGUACCUUAAUAAAUCACUUAAACUGAU